This 2061-nucleotide long non-coding RNA is filed under the name Salmo salar (Atlantic salmon). RNAcentral describes it as "lncRNA (ENSSSAG00000122082.1)". Lineage: Eukaryota; Metazoa; Chordata; Actinopteri; Salmoniformes; Salmonidae. The record is from RNAcentral.
UAUGAAUAAAAGCACAACACACAUCUCUGACUGAUCAUUCAUUUGGUUUUAUUCAUGUCAAGGCAAACUACACUCUAGCUGUAAUGGCAUUAUACAAUGCCAUUGUAUAAUAGCUUACAGAGGAUGUUAUGAAAAGAGUUCACUAUUCAUAUCCGGAACACGGCUGCAUUACGACACCAGCGAAAUUGAUGAGCAGCUCUACUAUCUCGGUUGUAGCUCGGCGGACGAGAGUAUUUCACUUCUUAUUUCUGCAUUUCUUCCGAAUCUAUCUCCCCACUCAGCUAUGCAGGUGUGUAAGGGGUGAAGUUCUCAAUGGGAGCCGAGACUAUCGCACAGUGCCAGUAGAGAGACACCGAUGAAGUGUCAGUCAUGCUGGUGGCUGGCAGCGACGGCAGAGCAGAGCGUGACAUGCCAGUGUUUUUUCCUGAGGGGAUGUGUGUUUUCUUGGUCUUGGAUCCACGGAGUGAUAGCAGAACGUUCCAUUUAUUCUAUGGUUCUUUCCUUCCCUUCUUAUUUCUGCCACCAUGGCAUGAUCCAGAGCAGGGCGGUGUAACUGGGUGAUUCAACAUCACUGUUAUAGUGAUAGGAAGAGACACCAAGGAUUUUGCAACAAGGGCAAGUAGGAAAACCGUAAAGGUUAUUUUCCCCUUCAUAAUCAACGCAGUUCUCUCUGGCAGUGUUCAAGCCUUAGCAGCAGUCAAUCUGAGUGUUUCUGACUUCUGGCUGAUUUGUUCUUCUUCUGAUGAUGACAGUUGGCAGCUCUCUUCUGGUUUCUUCGGACAGCUCAGUGUCAGUGAGUAGAGAGGCAGUGCUGGUUUUAUAGUGACUUGUAUUUCCAUUCACUUACAAAAGUGAGACAUACAUUUCUCCUGUAGAUUAGUAGUAUGAUUCGUCCGGGUAGGAUAACUUACUGUCUAUUUUCUAUCCAAUACAGCUUGGUUUUAUAGUGACUUGUAUUUCCAUUCACUUACAAAAGUGAGACACAAUUCUCCAGUAGAUUAGUAGUAUGCUUCGUCUGGGUAGGAUAACUUAAUGUCUACUAUUUUCUAUCCAAUACAGCUUGGUUUUAUAGUGACUGACUUGACAUGCCAUUUCAUAUCCUAAUUCAUUCAGAUAACCUUCCUAAUAAGUGUUAUUGUAGAUAUUGAGAGAUGACUGUAGUCUACUAGAGCACUGUCGAGUCGGGAGUCUUGUCAGACCGAGACACUGAGAAUGCAGAGCACAGUUCGUUUUCUAACAGAACAAAGACUGAAUAUACCAAAGCCACUGCAUCACAGAGAAUUGUGCCAAACCAGCCCUGAUAACAGCGUUGAUCACCUCUCCCACGAACAUAACCUUUUAUAAGGACUUUUUGCAUUAUGCACGGAUCAAACAAUGAAGUGAAAUACUCGUCCGCCGAGCCAAAACGAGCUUCACCCGAGACAGUAAAGCUGCUCCGCUGCUUCACUGGUGUCAUAACGCAGCCAUGUUCCUGCCUCUGACUACCAUCGUCCUCACAGAGCCCAGCCUCUCUUCUCCGGACCGGCAACACUACAGCUGCUCCUCGGAGUGAAGCCGCUUUUCGAGCGUCAAAAUUGGAAUUAUUCUUUGGAGCUCUCUCACAUAUAAUAGGCCUACAUAGCACACAGAGGUAUACAGUAAAACAGUCAAAUGGAACAAAUAAAACAUUUCUAAAAUCCUCUAUGAUGUCCUUUCUUUUCUUUGUGUUCAGCUCCAGGUUGUUUCCACUGCACAUCGCUGUUAGACACUGCGCUUCUUGUCUGUCUAUAGGCUGUCUCGUCGUUGUUAUUGACGAGCCUUAGGACGUUUUUAGUCUCACAAUGGAUUUUGAGGAGCCCCUUUUCUUAUAGUGCUGUGAUAAUACAAACAUACAGCCUCCUUAAUAUCUACACAUAUUAUUUGAAAGACUGAAGACGGAGCGUUCUGCAUGAAAGGUGUACUUUAUUAUUGUCAGUGACAUGGCACACAACCAUUGGUUGAUGCAAUGUGGCGUGUCAAUUGUAGGCGGCCUCGUACAAAUUCAGUGGGCUGGGCUGCAGAGGAAGUCAGCAUUUCUUCCGA